AUCCUGCCGGAGGCCAUUGCUAUCGGAGUCCGAUUUAGCCAUGCUAGUCGUGCGAGUUCAGACUCGCGGCACCGAGCUCAGUAACACGUGGCCAAACUACCCUACAGAGACGGAUACCCUCGGGAAACUGAGGUUAACCCGUCAUACCGAUCUCAGGCUUGAAUCGCAGAGAUCACAAAACGCCCCGGCGCUGUAGGAUGUGGCUGCGGUUGAUUAGGUAGACGGUGGGGUAACGGCCCACCGUGCCCAUAAUCAGUACAGGUUGUGAGAGCAAGAACCUGGAGACGGAAUCUGAGACAAGAUACCGGGCCCUACGGGGCGCAGCAGGCGCGAAACCUUUACACUGCACGACAGUGCGAUAGGGGGAUUCCGAGUGCGAGGGCAUACAGUCCUCGCUUUUCUGGACCGUAAGGAGGUCCAAGAAUAAGGGCUGGGCAAGACCGGUGCCAGCCGCCGCGGUAAUACCGGCAGCCCGAGUGAUGGCCGAUAUUAUUGGGCCUAAAGCGUCCGUAGCUGGCCAGACAAGUCCGUUGGGAAAUCCACGCGCUCAACGCGUGGGCGUCCAGCGGAAACUGCCUGGCUUGGGGCCGGAGGACUCGAGGGGUACGUCCGGGGUAGGAGUGAAAUCCCGUAAUCCUGGACGGACCACCGGUGGCGAAAGCGCCUCGAGAGGACGGACCCGACAGUGAGGGACGAAAGCCAGGGUCUCGAACCGGAUUAGAUACCCGGGUAGUCCUGGCCGUAAACGAUGUCUGCUAGGUGUGGCGCAGGCUACGAGCCUGCGCUGUGCCGCAGGGAAGCCGUGAAGCAGACCGCCUGGGAAGUACGUCCGCAAGGAUGAAACUUAAAGGAAUUGGCGGGGGAGCACUACAACCGGAGGAGCCUGCGGUUUAAUUGGACUCAACGCCGGACAUCUCACCGGCACCGACAACAGUAAUGACGGUCAGGUUGAUGACCUUACCCGAGUUGUUGAGAGGAGGUGCAUGGCCGCCGUCAGCUCGUACCGUGAGGCGUCCUGUUAAGUCAGGCAACGAGCGAGACCCGCAUCCCUAGUUGCCAGCAACACCAUUGGUGGUUGGGUACACUAGGGAGACUGCCGCUGCUAAAGCGGAGGAAGGAACGGGCAACGGUAGGUCAGUAUGCCCCGAAUGUGCCGGGCAACACGCGGGCUACAAUGGCCGGGACAAUGGGAAGCUAUCCCGAGAGGGAACGCUAAUCCCCUAAACCCGGUCGUAGUUCGGAUUGAGGGCUGCAACCCGCCCUCAUGAAGCUGGAUUCGGUAGUAGUCGCGCGUCAGUAGCGCGCGGCGAAUACGUCCCUGCUCCUUGUACACACCGCCCGUCA
RNAcentral lists this ribosomal RNA (1344 nucleotides) under uncultured archaeon. RNAcentral's name for it is "bacterial SSU rRNA". It matches the Rfam family "Archaeal small subunit ribosomal RNA". The record is from RNAcentral.